UACAGAGGGGGCAAGCGUUGUUCGGAAUUACUGGGCGUAAAGGGCGCGUAGGCGGCCCGCUAAGUCGAACGUGAAAUCCCCGAGCUCAACUCGGGAACUGCGUCCGAUACUGGUGGGCUUGAAUCCGGGAGAGGGAUGCGGAAUUCCAGGUGUAGCGGUGAAAUGCGUAGAUAUCUGGAGGAAUACCGGUGGCGAAGGCGGCAUCCUGGACCAUUACUGACGCUGAGGCGCGAAAGCUAGGGGAGCAAACGGG
Molecule: ribosomal RNA, 253 nt
Filed under: uncultured bacterium
Lineage: Bacteria
Description: partial 16S ribosomal RNA
Rfam family: Bacterial small subunit ribosomal RNA
Source: RNAcentral